Molecule: ribosomal RNA, 456 nt
Filed under: Capra hircus (goat)
Lineage: Eukaryota; Metazoa; Chordata; Mammalia; Artiodactyla; Bovidae
Description: partial large subunit ribosomal RNA
Rfam family: Bacterial large subunit ribosomal RNA
Source: RNAcentral
CAUUUGUUCUCUAAAUAAGGACUUGUAUGAACGGCCACACGAGGGUUUUACUGUCUCUUACUUCCAAUCAGUGAAAUUGACCUCCCCGUGAAGAGGCGGGAAUGAAUUAACAAGACGAGAAGACCCUAUGGAGCUUUAACUAACUAGUCCAAAAGAAAUAAAUUUAACCACCAAGGGAUAACAACAUCCUUUAUGGACUAGCAGUUUUGGUUGGGGUGACCUCGGAGAACAAGAGAUCCUCCGAGCGAUUUUAAAGACUAGACUUACAAGUCAAAUCAAAUUAUCGCUUAUUGAUCCAAAAAACUUGAUCAACGGAACAAGUUACCCUAGGGAUAACAGCGCAAUCCUAUUCAAGAGUCCAUAUCGACAAUAGGGUUUACGACCUCGAUGUUGGAUCAGGACAUCCUGAUGGUGCAACCGCUAUCAAAGGUUCGUUUGUUCAACGAUUAAAGUCCU